Long non-coding RNA from Geospiza fortis (medium ground-finch), 1588 nucleotides. NCBI's taxonomy places the organism in Eukaryota, Metazoa, Chordata, Aves, Passeriformes, Thraupidae. The record is from Ensembl.
GAGUUUCGUGCCCGGGGCUCCGUGACUCGCUGCUUUUCAACGAGGGUUUUAGAUCAUCCUCACCUCGUGGUCAGACUGACCUCUCCCCACCCUCUAUAAUUCUGUUCUCCAGCUUCAGAAACGUCUUUUGCUGUCAGGGGCUAUCCCAACACAUCCAACGAGACUGGCUCAAUUCUGGCACCGAGGGCAAGUGGCUUGUCCCACUAUUGCUGCUUCUCCCUACCUAGAAGCCUUCCAGCUGGCAUGGGCAUCAUGGCCAUGUCUUGCACAGUGCUGUGGCACUGCUUAGAAGACUGCUGCUUGCUGGAAAAGGCCGAGGUUGUACAGGGAGUGGGAUAACAAUGAAACAGGCAAAUCAAAUUCAAUCUAACAUUUGAGUCCAUACACUGUUCAUGUUCACUUUUGCUAGUAUUGACUUCCCAAGUGCCCUCAGACUGGAACUGAGCUUUGGCCAAAGAAUUUGGCGCUAGCUUAUAGAAACUUAUUCUGGUUUUGAUCUCUGAUAUUUUACUUAAAAGUAUUAGGGCUUUUUACUGUUAAAGUACCUAUAGAUGUGCAUAAUCUAUAUCUGUCUAUUAUUAUUUCAUGUUGUCCCUAGCUCAUUUAUGCACUUCCCUUUUCUGAUUCAGAAUAAAGGAGCACAAGGAUCAAGCAGAUCUGGCUAAGCUGGAAAAGAGAAGAGAAGGGGAACGAAUACAGCAAUCAAGCCAAUUGUACCAACUGGAAAUUCAGAGAGAUAAAGAGAAGGAUCAGGAGAAAAAAGUUGAAUUCCAAAGGCACCAUCAUGAAUAUGUAGCUGAACAGAAAAUAUUUAAAGCUGAAGAGAAACAAAAAGAAGACAAAGAUGAUGAUCGGAUUAAGGCUUAUAUUAAGGAAAAAGAAAUGAUGGCUGAUCUGACAAGAGAAAAAAAUGCAGAGACUAACAGGAUGAUAGAGAAGCAUAAAGACAAAGCUUUUGAACAAUUAAAUGCACAGAUGAAUGAGAAAUUUAAGAUUGAAGAUGAUCGUCUUGCUAGAGGAGCUGCAGAGGUAGAACUUGAGUACCAAAUAAAAAAUAAAGAGAAAGAAAUGAAAAAAAAGGCUGUCCUUGAAUCCAUUGAAGAAAACAGAGUCACUGUGAUGAAGUUGAAAGAGGAAAAGGAGAGACAGGAGAAAGAAGAGGAUGAGAAGGAUCGUAAUCAGUGGAUGACAGAAAAUGACGUCUACUUGGAAAUGGAAAAAGCCAAGAAACAAAGACAGCGUGAUGCAAACAUGGAAAUACAGAAAUUUCAGCUCCAGCAAAUGGCUGAAAAGCAGGCAAGAAAAGAGCAGGAAAAGCAAGCAGAAUUGGACUACAAUGCUCAGAGAGAGGCUGCUUUCCAUGGGGAUCGAGCAUUUCGGAGAUAAAGGCAUGCUCAUUUUAUUACAUCAAGCUUUUUUUCAGCAAGCAGAAAGAAUGGAAACUUUUCUAAAAGCCUUUUGAUGGCAGAAGCUGGAGCCUUAAGAAGUAUUGACUACAGCAGGAGUGGUGCUGAAACCUGCAGAGCUCAGUAAUGCUCCAAAUGAAUCCCUAAGUGCAAAUUUGCACAUGCUCACUACUAUGCAAUUG